RNAcentral lists this ribosomal RNA (180 nucleotides) under uncultured eukaryote. RNAcentral's name for it is "partial 18S small subunit ribosomal RNA". It matches the Rfam family "Eukaryotic small subunit ribosomal RNA", at positions 1519 to 1698 of the family's 1831-position model. The record is from RNAcentral.
GUUUAUGUCCUAGCCUGAAAAGGCCGGGAAACCCGGUGAAUUCUUUUCGUGCUAGGGAUUGAGCCUUGCAAUUGUUUCUCAUCAACGAGGAAUUCCCAGUAAGUGUGAGUCAUAAGCUCGCACUGAUUACGUCCCUGCCCUUUGUACACACCGCCCGUCGCUACUACCGAUUGAAUGGGU